UACAGAGGGUGCAAGCGUUAAUCGGAAUUACUGGGCGUAAAGCGUGCGCAGGCGGUUUUGUAAGCCAGAUGUGAAAUCCCCGGGCUUAACCUGGGAAUGGCAUUUGGGACUGCAAGGCUUGAGUGCGGCAGAGGAGACUGGAAUUCCCGGUGUAGCAGUGAAAUGCGUAGAUAUCGGGAGGAAUACCGAUGGCGAAGGCAGGUCUCUGGGCUGACACUGACGCUCAUGCACGAAAGCGUGGGGAGCAAACAGG
RNAcentral lists this ribosomal RNA (253 nucleotides) under uncultured bacterium. Its description in RNAcentral is "partial 16S ribosomal RNA". It matches the Rfam family "Bacterial small subunit ribosomal RNA", at positions 524 to 776 of the family's 1533-position model. The record is from RNAcentral.